Gossypium arboreum is the source of this 635-nucleotide long non-coding RNA. RefSeq lists it as uncharacterized. The record is from RefSeq and is a predicted model, not a curated record. The transcript has 3 exons. Lineage: Eukaryota; Viridiplantae; Streptophyta; Magnoliopsida; Malvales; Malvaceae.
CUUACGAAACUUUCUUCUUCCCCACUUUUUUGGCUGUCCCUUGAAAUCCCCAAGCAUCAUUCAUCUAUUUUAAUCUUCAUUACUUCAAUUCCUUUGAUUUUCAUCAUCCUCCAAGUAAUAAACCUCCAUAGAAUUCCAUAAGGAGCACCAAAAACACCAUUAAUUUUGCUAUUAUUCAACUUGUGAGUUUUCUUAGAUUUGCACCAAACCUUCAUUUUCCCUAACCAAGAUCAAGAAAAGAGGAAUUCAGACGACUGAGGGAAGUCGAAGAUUGUAGAGUAAACAGUCCGAGUCGACAAUUCCAAGUACGAGAUAUGGAAGCUACUGCAAGCUCGAGGAUCGUCAAGAAUCAUCACCACACUAUCGAACCUCAUUUUGGUACUUUUGAAAAUGUAUAUUUUUAAGUAUGGCAUGUAUAGGCUAGUAGUUGUGGGAUUAUGUUUUGUGAUGUACAUACUUAGCCAUGUGAUUUGGCUAGUUGGUGUUUAAACUCAUAGUUGAUAAUGGCUUAUGGUAUGUGAUGUUAAUGUGCAAUUGUGGUAUGUUUUAUUUGGACAAAAAAAAUGGUAAAUGUUGGUAAGUUUUGAUAAGUUUAGCAUGAGAUUGAAUGAUAUAUGGAAGGAAAUGUUUUGGUA